Molecule: long non-coding RNA, 158 nt
Organism: Hippocampus comes (tiger tail seahorse)
Lineage: Eukaryota; Metazoa; Chordata; Actinopteri; Syngnathiformes; Syngnathidae
Exons: 3
Source: RefSeq, a predicted model, not a curated record
CGGCCUUCCUCUUGAGCAGGGGUGUCAAACUCAGGUCCUGGAGGGCCGCUGUCCUGCACGUUUUCCAAGUCUCUCUGUUGCAAGACACCUGAUUCAAAUGAACAGGUUCAAUGGCAGGCUUCCACAGAGCUUGCUGAUGAUCUGAUCAUUUGAAUCAG